CUUGGUCAUUUAGAGGAAGUAAAAGUCGUAACAAGGUUUCCGUAGGUGAACCUGCGGAAGGAUCAUUAGUGAAUUGAAUAUGUUAGCGGACCUCUUCGGAGUCCCUAGCAUCAAAUCAUAUCCAUAACACCUGUGAACUGUAAGGCUGUCUUGAAAACGAAAGUGAUUAGAGCGCCUGCCCAUUUUAUACAGACAUUAAAGUAACAAACGUAGUCUUAUUAUAAUCUAAUAAAACUUUCAACAACGGAUCUCUUGGCUCUCGCAUCGAUGAAGAACGCAGCGAAAUGCGAUAAGUAAUGUGAAUUGCAGAAUUCAGUGAAUCAUCGAAUCUUUGAACGCACCUUGCGCUCUUUGGUAUUCCGAAGAGCAUGCCUGUUUGAGUGUCAUGAAAAUAUCAACCUUGACUUGGGUUUAGUGCUCUUGUCUUGGCUUGGAUUUGGCUGUUUGCCGCUCGAAAGAGUCGGCUCAGCUUAAAAGUAUUAGCUGGAUCUGUCUUUGAGACUUGGUUUGGCUUGGCGUAAUAAGUUAUUUCGCUGAGGACAAUCUUCGGAUUGGCCGAGUUUCUGGGACGUUUGUCCGCUUUCUAAUACAAGUUCUAGCUUGCUAGACAUGACUUUUUUAUUAUCUGGCCUCAAAUCAGGUAGGACUACCCGCUGAACUUAAGCAUAUCAAUAAGCGGAGGA
This 683-nucleotide ribosomal RNA is filed under the name uncultured fungus. RNAcentral's name for it is "eukaryotic LSU rRNA". The stretch from base 233 to 386 matches the Rfam family "5.8S ribosomal RNA". The record is from RNAcentral. Lineage: Eukaryota; Fungi.